RNAcentral lists this ribosomal RNA (460 nucleotides) under uncultured bacterium. Its description in RNAcentral is "partial 16S ribosomal RNA". It matches the Rfam family "Bacterial small subunit ribosomal RNA", at positions 338 to 795 of the family's 1533-position model. The record is from RNAcentral.
CCUACGGGUGGCAGCAGUGAGGAAUAUUGGUCAAUGGGCGCGAGCCUGAACCAGCCAAGUAGCGUGAAUGAUGACUGCCCUACGGGUUGUAAACUUCUUUUAUAAAGGAAUAAAGUGAGGCACGUGUGCCUUUUUGUAUGUACUUUAUGAAUAAGGAUCGGCUAACUCCGCGCCAGCAGCCGCGGUAAUACGGAGGAUACGAGCGUUAUCCGGAUUUAUUGGGUUUAAAGGGAGCGUAGAUGGGUUGGUAAGUCAGUUGUGAAAGUUUGCGGCUCAACCGUAAAAUUGCAAUUGAUACUGGCAGCCUUGAGUACAGUAGAGGUAGGUAGAAUUCGAGGUGUAGCGGUGAAAUGCGUAGAGAUCAGGAAGAACACCGAUUGCGAAGGCAGCCUACUAGACUGACACUGACAUUGAUGCGCGAAAGUGUGGGUAUCAAACAGGAUUAGAUACCCCAGUAGUC